GUGGGGAAUAUUGGGCAAUGGGCGAAAGCCUGACCCAGCAACGCCGCGUGAAGGAAGAAGGUCUUCGGAUCGUAAACUUCUAUCCUUGGUGAAGAUAAUGACGGUAGCCGAGAAGGAAGCCCCGGCUAACUACGUGCCAGCAGCCGCGGUAAUACGUAGGGGGCAAGCGUUGUCCGGAAUGAUUGGGCGUAAAGGGCGCGUAGGCGGCCUGGUAAGUCUGGAGUGAAAGUCCUGCUUUUAAGGUGGGAAUUGCUUUGGAUACUGUCGGGCUUGAGUGCAGGAGAGGUAAGUGGAAUUCCCGGUGUAGCGGUGAAAUGCGUAGAGAGCGGGAGGAACACCAGUGGCGAAGGCGACUUACUGGACUGUAACUGACGCUGAGGCGCGAAAGUGUGGGGAGCAAACAGGAUUAGAAACCCGGGUAGUCC
This 425-nucleotide ribosomal RNA is filed under the name uncultured bacterium. RNAcentral's name for it is "partial 16S ribosomal RNA". It matches the Rfam family "Bacterial small subunit ribosomal RNA", at positions 354 to 796 of the family's 1533-position model. The record is from RNAcentral.